Molecule: transfer RNA, 77 nt
Filed under: Speluncibacter jeojiensis
Lineage: Bacteria; Bacillati; Actinomycetota; Actinomycetes; Mycobacteriales; Speluncibacteraceae
Description: tRNA-Phe
Rfam family: tRNA
About the family: Transfer RNA (tRNA) molecules are approximately 80 nucleotides in length.
Source: RNAcentral
GGCCAGGUAGCUCAGUUGGUACGAGCGUCCGCCUGAAAAGCGGAAGGUCGCCAGUUCGAUCCUGGCCCUGGCCACCA